Molecule: ribosomal RNA, 460 nt
Filed under: uncultured bacterium
Lineage: Bacteria
Description: partial 16S ribosomal RNA
Rfam family: Bacterial small subunit ribosomal RNA
Source: RNAcentral
GACGAACGCUGGCGGCGUGCUUAACACAUGCAAGUCGAGCGGUAAGGCCUCUUCGGGGGUACACGCGCGGCGAACGGGUGAGUAACACGUGGGUGACCUGCCCUCCGCUCUGGGAUAGGCCUGGGAAACUGGGUCUAAUACCGGAUAUGACCUUUCCUCGCAUGGGGGUUGGUGGAAAGUUUUUUCGGCUGGGGAUGGGCGCGCGGCCUAUCUGCUUGUUGGUUGGUGGAUGGCCUACCCAGGCGACGACGGGUAGCCGGCCUGAGAGGGCGACCGCCCAGAGUGUGACAGAGACACGGCACAGACUCCUGCGGGAGGAAGCAGUGGGGAAGAUUGCUCAGUGGGCGCAAGCCGGACGAAGCGACGCCGCGGGGUGGAGGACGGCCUGCGGGUUGCAGACCUCGUUCGACCCCGACGAAUUUGGACGGUAGGGGUAGAAGAAGCACCGGCCAACUACGUG